Long non-coding RNA from Vicia villosa (hairy vetch), 290 nucleotides. RefSeq lists it as uncharacterized. The record is from RefSeq and is a predicted model, not a curated record. Lineage: Eukaryota; Viridiplantae; Streptophyta; Magnoliopsida; Fabales; Fabaceae. The transcript is spliced from 3 exons.
UUUAGAAGCAAACCUUGCGCACGUCAAAGGUCUAUAUCGUCGUUCAGUUUGGACUACACACUGCAAUGGAGAUUUUGAUGAAGCAAGGGCUGAUUUAAAAAUGAUGAUGAAAAUCGACAAGUCAACUACAUCAGACGCAACAACAACCCUUAUAAAACUUAAGCAGAAAUAGCAGGAAGUUGAGAAGAAAGCUCGUGAACAAUUUAAAGGGCUAUUUGACAAGAAGUUUGGAGAAAUUGCUGAAGUUAAAGCUAAUGAAGAUGGAGAUUAGAUCACCAGGGAAAGCCAAA